GCUCUAGAAACAUCGUUCCAUUACUGGAUUGAAUGUCCGGCGUACACCAUCGAAAGGACGACUUUAGAAGCAGCAUUGGGUCUUUCUAUCGCCUCCCUUUCAGAUUUAAAUGCGAUCUACUGGCCUCCACCCCAGACGGACUCACGACAACACAUAGUGCAAUUAGAACGCUACAUCGAGUCAACUCGUCGUUUCACGUGACACCAGUAUUACAAUCUUCGCAAUCGGAGGAAAAAGCACCAGCUAUAACCUCCAUAUGACAGAAUAGAAGAAGAAGAAGAAGUCCUAGUGGUCUGCACCUGCGAUGGUUUUGAUUCUUGAUAAAAUUUGCAUAUUCUAACUGUUAAUAAUCAGACAGAUGAUGAUGAUGACUGGUUUCUCAUUAAAAGAAAGUUAAAAAAUGUUUGAAAGAACUGAAGCUGAUGCUAAACUUGCUGUUUCUAGUUCAUCUUUAGAAAUGACACAAGAAUUUAAUUCAGGACUUAGUGAUGAUAUAACUGAAGAAUCAAAAUGGU
RNAcentral lists this long non-coding RNA (515 nucleotides) under Androctonus crassicauda. Lineage: Eukaryota; Metazoa; Arthropoda; Arachnida; Scorpiones; Buthidae. The record is from RNAcentral.